This 72-nucleotide transfer RNA is filed under the name Camelus bactrianus (Bactrian camel). It matches the Rfam family "tRNA". From Rfam's summary of the family: Transfer RNA (tRNA) molecules are approximately 80 nucleotides in length. Their secondary structure includes four short double-helical elements and three loops (D, anti-codon, and T loops). RNAcentral also lists the same sequence under 2 other names. The record is from Rfam by way of RNAcentral. Lineage: Eukaryota; Metazoa; Chordata; Mammalia; Artiodactyla; Camelidae.
GAGGGUGUAGCUCAGUGGUAGAGCACACGCCGAGCACACACGAGGCCCUGGGUUCGAUCCCCAGUACCUCCA